UACGGAGGAUCCAAGCGUUAUCCGGAUUUAUUGGGUUUAAAGGGUGCGUAGGCGGCCUGUUAAGUCAGGGGUGAAAGACGGUAGCUCAACUAUCGCAGUGCCCUUGAUACUGAUGGGCUUGAAUGGACUAGAGGUAGGCGGAAUGUGACAAGUAGCGGUGAAAUGCAUAGAUAUGUCACAGAACACCAAUUGCGAAGGCAGCUCGCUGGGACGUUACUGACGCUGAGACGCGAAAGCGUGGGGAGCAAACAGG
Molecule: ribosomal RNA, 253 nt
Filed under: uncultured bacterium
Lineage: Bacteria
Description: partial 16S ribosomal RNA
Rfam family: Bacterial small subunit ribosomal RNA
Source: RNAcentral